Long non-coding RNA from Dama dama (fallow deer), 528 nucleotides. RefSeq lists it as uncharacterized. The record is from RefSeq and is a predicted model, not a curated record. The transcript is spliced from 3 exons. NCBI's taxonomy places the organism in Eukaryota, Metazoa, Chordata, Mammalia, Artiodactyla, Cervidae.
UCAGGAUGGCCGAGCGGUCUAAGGCGCUGCGUUCAGGUCGCAGUCUCCCCUGGAGGCGUGGGUUCGAAUCCCACUUCUGACAAACGUAAGAAGUGGAUUUAUCCAGAUACAGAGAGAGGCACACUCCACAGACAGUUGGGGCCAUUGCAGAGAACGAGGAAACUGAAGCUCAGCGAUCUUCUAAGUUACCGCCCCAUCAUUUCAGAAGAGAAGACCAGAUCAAUUGAGUCAUAAAAGGAUCUCCUCCUUCCACGCACUCCCGCAUUUCACCCAGACCCUCCCCUCAAGGAUGCUCGGUCAUCUGGGACUCCUUGGGAGUCUCGACACGGCGAUGACGAUCCCGCUUUAAGGGGAGACAUCAGAGAGGUGCAGGGGCUCGCCCAAGAGCACACAGCGCUAGGGAGACAUCCAGGAGGGAUGUGGGUAGUUUUGCAAGCGGCCAGCAGUUUAUCCCGAGGCUCGGAAGCCAACGGCGAGGAGGGCGCGGGGCGAUCAAAGCCGCCCCGAAUGCGGGGGAAAUUGCCAGCA